Molecule: ribosomal RNA, 253 nt
Filed under: uncultured bacterium
Lineage: Bacteria
Description: partial 16S ribosomal RNA
Rfam family: Bacterial small subunit ribosomal RNA
Source: RNAcentral
UACGUAGGGUCCAAGCGUUAUCCGGAAUCACUGGGCGUAAAGCGUGCGUAGGUGGAUGCUUAAGUGAGUUGUUAAAUCGUGUGGCUCAACCAUAUCGAUGCAAUUCAUACUGGGCGUCUAGAGGACAGCAGAGGCAAGUGGAAUUACGAGUGUAGCGGUAAAAUGCGCAGAUAUCAGGAGGAACACCGGUGGCGAAGGCGGAUCUCUGGGCCGUAACUGACGCUGAGGAGCGAAAGCAUGGGGAGCGAACAGG